CGGGUCCAUCAGAGCCACCCACUCAGCCAUUUUCUCAUGGAUCUGCCGAGCCAGCAGUGUCUUCCCAUAUGACUACCGAGCCACAGGAUUCGGCGCCAGUGGGUCCACAGGAGCUGCCCAUUCCGGAGCAUUCUCAUCAGCCUGCCGAGGCAGAGGUGUCUUCUCAUGAGACUACCGAGGCGCAUGUAAGUUUUUUACUUAAACUAAUUUUAUUCAAUAUAAGGUAAAUGUUUAUUUAAUUUUUAUAACCUUUACUUGGACUUCGAACAGCAUCUCGUCCAGGAGACUACCUCAUAUUCACUAUCACACCCAUCUCAGGAGGCUACAGACCCAUCUCGGGAGCCUUCUCAGGCGCCCGUUGACACACAGGUUCAUCCUUCGGCGCCUGCGGUGGCGACUCCCGACGAGGAAGAGGUCCAGUUUCCAGACCCAGCUCAGCCUGAGGUUCUGAGCAUGCCAGCGGGACAAGAUCCCAAGAAGAAGCACGUUCUAGUUAAGGGCGCAAGGGCUAGGGGAAGAGAAGAUGAUCAUGACUUGGAGCGCCCGGUUAUUAAGAGGAAAAAGGGCGACGGAGACGAUGGCGAGGGCGGUGGGGAUGGUAUGAGCCUUAGGCCUAGGGAUAGUCUCCGGCAUACUACAUGUGGGACCCAUCCUCGAUAGUGUAUAUACAUUAGUGUUGUACAAUUUAUCGUAAAUAUUAUACA
Long non-coding RNA from Lycium barbarum (goji berry), 704 nucleotides. RefSeq lists it as uncharacterized. Lineage: Eukaryota; Viridiplantae; Streptophyta; Magnoliopsida; Solanales; Solanaceae. The transcript has 3 exons. The record is from RefSeq and is a predicted model, not a curated record.